GACGAACGCUGGCGGCGUGCUUAACACAUGCAAGUCGAACGGAAAGGCCCUGCUUUUGUGGGGUGCUCGAGUGGCGAACGGGUGAGUAACACGUGAGUAACCUGCCCUUGACUUUGGGAUAACUUCAGGAAACUGGGGCUAAUACCGGAUAGGAGCUCCUGCUGCAUGGUGGGGGUUGGAAAGUUUCGGCGGUUGGGGAUGGACUCGCGGCUUAUCAGCUUGUUGGUGGGGUAGUGGCUUACCAAGGCUUUGACGGGUAGCCGGCCUGAGAGGGUGACCGGCCACAUUGGGACUGAGAUACGGCCCAGACUCCUACGGGAGGCAGCAGUGGGGAAUAUUGCACAAUGGGCGGAAGCCUGAUGCAGCAACGCCGCGUGCGGGGUGACGGCCUUCGGGUUGUAAACCGCUUUCGCCUGUGACGAAGCGUGAGUGACGGUAAUGGGUAAAGAAGCACCGGCUAACUACGUGCCAGCAGCCGCGGUGAUACGUAGGGUGCGAGCGUUGUCCGGAUUUAUUGGGCGUAAAGGGCUCGUAGGUGGUUGAUCGCGUCGGAAGUGUAAUCUUGGGGCUUAACCCUGAGCGUGCUUUCGAUACGGGUUGACUUGAGGAAGGUAGGGGAGAAUGGGAUUCCUGGUGGAGCGGUGGAAUGCGCAGAUAUCAGGAGGAACACCAGUGGCGAAGGCGGUUCUCUGGGCCUUUCCUGACGCUGAGGAGCGAAAGCGUGGGGAGCGAACAGGCUUAGAUACCCUGGUAGUCCACGCUGUAAACGGUGGGUACUAGGUGUGGGGUCCAUUCCACGGGUUCCGUGCCGUAGCUAACGCUUUAAGUACCCCGCCUGGGGAGUACGGCCGCAAGGCUAAAACUCAAAGGAAUUGACGGGGCCCCGCACAAGCGGCGGAGCAUGCGGAUUAAUUCGAUGCAACGCGUAGAACCUUACCUGGGUUUGACAUGGAUCGGGAGCGCUCAGAGAUGGGUGUGCCUCUUUUGGGGUCGGUUCACAGGUGGUGCAUGGCUGUCGUCAGCUCGUGUCGUGAGAUGUUGGGUUAAGUCCCGCAACGAGCGCAACCCUUGUUCACUGUUGCCAGCACGUUAUGGUGGGGACUCAGUGGAAACCGCCGGGGUCAACUCGGAGGAAGGUGGGGAUGACGUCAAGUCAUCAUGCCCCUUAUGUCCAGGGCUUCACGCAUGCUACAAUGGCUGGUACAGAGAGUGGCGAGCCUGUGAGGGUGAGCGAAUCUCGGAAAGCCGGUCUCAGUUCGGAUUGGGGUCUGCAACUCGACCUCAUGAAGUCGGAGUCGCUAGUAAUCGCAGAUCAGCAACGCUGCGGUGAAUACGUUCCCGGGGCU
RNAcentral lists this ribosomal RNA (1346 nucleotides) under uncultured bacterium. Its description in RNAcentral is "bacterial SSU rRNA". It matches the Rfam family "Bacterial small subunit ribosomal RNA", at positions 28 to 1381 of the family's 1533-position model. The record is from RNAcentral.